CUGUAGCAGUGUCCUGGGCAAUGCAGGAUAGAGAGAGAAAAAAGCCAAUCUACAAAGAUGUCAAGGGCACGCUUUGAAAUGAGACAGUGCUCGACUCUUGCUACAGCAAUAUAGGGAGAAAUACCCCUGGACGUUGGAUGCUAUUUUUCCACUGAGAAAGCUGAUCUUCAGAAAGCUGACAGCAUCUCUGCUUGGGAGUGGAAACAGACAUUUUCCGGCACCCCUGCUGCCAGAAAAUUACAGUAUUACACUGCUGCUUGCAAUAGGUUUCUUAACGCAGGAAUGAAACAGUGCAUUGUGUCACACUGUGGCAGGACCCAUCCACCUGAUGUCAGACAUGGAUAAAGACUUCAACAUCGCCCCUAUACGAAUAUUCAACCUAUUAAAUAUCCAGUAAUUUAUGGGUGAACUUUGUAAAUCAUAUUGUCAUGUUUAAUCUAUCCCAGCAAUGUGUAUUUUUACACAGAAUAUAUGCUCCCCUUAUUCUGGAGUUUAUUACGUUAUAGAUGAAUUACUCUCCUUUUAUGAUACACAUAAGCUCGAUAAUGCUGUAAGCAGUAAAGACAAGGUUUUAUGGAGUUUUUUUUUUCACUUAUAGGUUUAGAUCCACUCUAAACCUAUAAGUCUGAAAUAAGGAUAUAUUUUCAAGCAUUAUUUCACUACUACCAGACUCCUAAUUGUUGAUAAUAGACACUUGCAUAAGUGACAUCAUCAUUUGAAUUGAAAUGCGUAUCCUUGCAUCAAAGGCAGCUGCAUAUUUUCACUAUUAAAAAAUAUAUAGCUUUUGUGAGUUAAUUUUAUCCUUACCAGAGGUGGUAAAGAGUAUAUUGAUUAUAUGAUGAGGAUUGCUAUUUUAGUGUUAGAUAUCUGUUAUACUCUGGCAAAUAAAA
Xyrauchen texanus (razorback sucker) is the source of this 890-nucleotide long non-coding RNA. RefSeq lists it as uncharacterized. The record is from RefSeq and is a predicted model, not a curated record. Lineage: Eukaryota; Metazoa; Chordata; Actinopteri; Cypriniformes; Catostomidae. The transcript is spliced from 3 exons.